RNAcentral lists this ribosomal RNA (474 nucleotides) under uncultured bacterium. Its description in RNAcentral is "bacterial SSU rRNA". It matches the Rfam family "Bacterial small subunit ribosomal RNA", at positions 36 to 507 of the family's 1533-position model. The record is from RNAcentral.
CUGGCGGCAUGCUUACACAUGCAAGUCGAACGGCAGCACGGGAGCAAUCCUGGUGGCGAGUGGCGAACGGGUGAGUAAUAUAUCGGAACGUGCCCAGUCGUGGGGGAUAACGUAGCGAAAGCUACGCUAAUACCGCAUACGAUCUAUGGAUGAAAGCGGGGGAUCGCAAGACCUCGCGCGAUUGGAGCGGCCGAUAUCAGAUUAGGUAGUUGGUGAGGUAAAGGCUCACCAAGCCGACGAUCUGUAGCUGGUCUGAGAGGACGACCAGCCACACUGGGACUGAGACACGGCCCAGACUCCUACGGGAGGCAGCAGUGGGGAAUUUUGGACAAUGGGCGCAAGCCUGAUCCAGCAAUGCCGCGUGCAGGAUGAAGGCCUUCGGGUUGUAAACUGCUUUGUACGGAACGAAACGGUGAGCUCUAAUACAGUUUGCUAAUGACGGUACCGUAAGAAUAAGCACCGGCUAACUACGUG